Ictalurus punctatus (channel catfish) is the source of this 1589-nucleotide long non-coding RNA. The record is from Ensembl. Lineage: Eukaryota; Metazoa; Chordata; Actinopteri; Siluriformes; Ictaluridae.
CUCCGGUGUACUCCUGAACGCAGACAUGCAGCGACACAGAGCGACUUUGUGUGACUUUUCCUGAACAGUGCGAACACGUUUAACACGGCGCUAACCUCCCACCUAACUCUCACCGUUAAUGCACAGAGACUGCCCGUUUUUCAUGUUACUGUACGUUUCUCUUGGCAGGUCAGUCAGGGCCUCUACUUUCUUCAAACCAGAAGUCAUUUUCUCAUUUCUCAUAAUUAAGAGUUAAUUGGGAGUGCACCUGUGGUUGUAUUUAAAGUGCUUACCUUUAGAGCCAGUGCCUUUUAACCCUUGAUACCAUGAGACAAUCUGCGGACCUCCGCAAGUCCAGUUCCUCCUGAGAGGCAGGUACCACGGGCAUCUGUACAAACUUUGGCCCUAAAGAACAAGCUUUAGUCAAGUUAAGUUAAGGCUCUGUGUUACUGAUUAGAAGGUCGGGAGUUCAAGCCCCAGCACUGCCACAGUCUGGGUUGCUGAUCGGAAGGUCGGGAGUUCAAGCCCCAGCACUGCCACAGUCUGGGUUGCUGAUCGGAAGGUCGGGAGUUCAAGCCCCAGCACUGCCACAGUCUGGGUUACUGAUCGGAAGGUCUGGGGUUCAAGCCCCAGCACUGCCACAGUCUGGGUUACUGAUCGGAAGCUCGGGCGUUCAAGCCCCAGCACUGCCACAGUCUGGGUUACUGAUCGGAAGCUCUGGGGUUCAAGCCCCGGCACUGCCACAGUCUGGGUUACUGAUCGGAAGGUCGGGCGUUCAAGCCCCAGCACUGCCACAGUCUGGGUUACUGAUCGGAAGCUCGGGGGUUCAAGCCCCGGCACUACCACAGUCUGGGUUACUGAUCGGUAGAUCCAGCACUGCCAAGCUGCCACUGUUGUGCCCUUAACCCUCUCUGCUCCAGGGGCGCUGUAUCAUGGCUGACCCUGUGCACUGACCCCAACCUCCUGACAUGCUGGAGGAAAGAAUGACAUGUGAAGAAAAGAAUUUCACUUUGCACAUGCAUAGGUGAUCAGUAAAGACUUUUACCCUAUCCAGUAAAGACUCAUUUCCAUUAUCCUUAGUCCUAAAGGUUCGACUGAACCCCUAGACAACAAAGGAACUGGUGACGGAACUGGAGGCAUCAAGUACCCAAAUAUGUACAGCCACCUUUAAGAGAUUCUUACAUCGCUAUGUCCUGAGAGGCUGUACGGAAGAAGCCACUACUCCAAGACAGGCAUUUGCAUUAGAUCAGCAGCAUUUCCUCAGGUCAAAUAAAACAUAAUGGGCCAUAAUGAUCAAUUGUGAAGCAUGGGGGUGGCAGCAUCAUGUUAUGGGGAUGUUUUGCUCGGAAAGGGGCUGGUGCAUUUAUAUAAAGUAUAACCUCAAGACAUAAGACAGAAAGUUAAAACUUGGGUCUUCCAGCAGAACAGUGAUCCUAAGCAUACGUCCCACGCUGUAACAAAACGGCUUAAAGACAACAAAGUAAAAGUAUUUUAGUGGCCUGGAUCCCACAGAUCAUUCGUGGCGUGAACAGAGAAACCGUAUCUGAGCGAGGAGGCCCACAAAGCUGACCGAUUUACACCAGUUCUGUCCGGAGGAAUGGGAAACAAAU